RNAcentral lists this ribosomal RNA (518 nucleotides) under uncultured bacterium. Its description in RNAcentral is "partial 16S ribosomal RNA". It matches the Rfam family "Bacterial small subunit ribosomal RNA", at positions 28 to 523 of the family's 1533-position model. The record is from RNAcentral.
GACGAACGCUGGCGGCGUGCUUAACACAUGCAAGUCGAACGGAGAAUUUAUUUCGGUAAAUUCUUAGUGGCGAACGGGUGAGUAACGCGUGGGCAACCUGCCCUUCAGAUGGGGACAACAUCCCGAAAGGGGUGCUAAUACCAAAUACGAUCACGCUGCCGCAUGGCGGUGUGAUGAAAGAUGGCCUCUAUUUAUAAGCUAUCGCUGAAGGAUGGGCCUGCGGCUGAUUAGCUAGUUGGUGGGGUAACGGCCUACCAAGGCGAUGAUCAGUAGCCGGUCUGAGAGGAUGAACGGCCACAUUGGGACUGAGACACGGCCCAAACUCCUACGGGAGGCAGCAGUGGGGAAUAUUCCGCAAUGGACGAAAGUCUGACGGAGCAACGCCGCGUGAGUGAUGAAGGUUUUCGGACUGUAAAGCUCUGUUGUUUAGGACGAAAGUGCCUGUUGCAAAUAGUUGCAGGUAUUGACGGUACUGAACGAGGAAGCCACGGCUAACUACGUGCCAGCCGCCGCCGUAA